RNAcentral lists this ribosomal RNA (599 nucleotides) under unidentified nematode. Its description in RNAcentral is "SSU rRNA". It matches the Rfam family "Eukaryotic small subunit ribosomal RNA", at positions 1024 to 1643 of the family's 1831-position model. Lineage: Eukaryota; Metazoa; Nematoda. The record is from RNAcentral.
UUCUGACCGUAAACGAUGCCAACUAGCGAUCCGCCGGCGGUUUCUAAACGCCCUGGUGGGGAGCUUCCCGGAAACGAAAGUCUUCCGGUUCCGGGGGAAGUAUGGUUGCAAAGCUGAAACUUAAAGGAAUUGACGGAAGGGCACCACCAGGAGUGGAGCCUGCGGCUUAAUUUGACUCAACACGGGGAAACUCACCCGGCCCGGACACCGCGAGGAUUGACAGAUUGAUAGCUCUUUCAUGAUUCGGUGGAUGGUGGUGCAUGGCCGUUCUUAGUUCGUGGAGCGAUUUGUCUGGUUUAUUCCGAUAACGAGCGAGACUCUAGCCUACUAACUAGUCUGCACACUCGCUCGCGAUGUGCGCUAGACUUCUUAGAGGGAUUUUCGGCGUUUCAGCCGCACGAAACUGAGCAAUAACAGGUCUGUGAUGCCCUUAGAUGUCCGGGGCUGCACGCGCGCUACACUGGCGAAAUCAGCGUGCCUGUCCUCUCGCGAAAGCGAUUGGUAAACCGGUGAAAAUUCGCCGUGAUUGGGAUCGGAAAUUGCAAUUAUUUUCCGUGAACGAGGAAUUCCAAGUAAGUGCGAGUCAUCAACUCGCGCUG